AGGGUAUUUUGAGGCAGCAGCACAGAUCUGAAGCCAGAGCAGCUGCCUUCACUCUGGGGGUCCUUGUGUGCCAAGGCUCCCGGUGAAUUCCUACAUAAGCAAAGAAGACACUGCCACAUUCAAGGGGGACAAAGAGACUUCACCAGCCCUUCACUUUAGCAACAUUUCCAGAGAAAGGGGCAAGACCAAGUUACAGCAUUCCAGGUGCUGGUGAGGAGACCACAGCCUGACUACAACCCAUGGGAAGCCAGAUAAGUGUCUGCUCCCCUUCUGAAAAGAAGCCAGAAUAUAAGAACGUGAAAAUUCCUGGGCCUGGUCAUGUCCAUCGUGCUCCAUGUACCGAAGCAAGAUCCACUGGGAGCCCUCCCCAUUCUCGACCAGGAAGAGACACCCUGUUGUACCAGAGCUGCUCCAAGCAACACGCAACACGCCGCGUGGCUGCAGAAAAGCAGCCUUUAUUUUGGAACUGUUUCCCUCUUCACCCUGCUUUGCAGUGAUGUGUGGUCACCCCACAAGUGCUGAUCUGCUCCUGGUUGUGUGACCACACUGUCAUUAAAGUUUUCUCCUCUCAGGCCGCAGCACUGGGCCAGCCAAAGCAGGGAUGCUGGCAGUCUGAAUAGCACAGGGACCAUCUGGGGAUGGAAAGAUGUACUCUGGCAGCAUUGGCAGCUACUGUGGGGUGAGCUAGUCCUGCCCAGCUCUACCCUCACAGCCAGAUAGG
RNAcentral lists this long non-coding RNA (721 nucleotides) under Junco hyemalis (dark-eyed junco). Its description in RNAcentral is "lncRNA (ENSJHYG00000015907.1)". The record is from RNAcentral. Lineage: Eukaryota; Metazoa; Chordata; Aves; Passeriformes; Passerellidae.